RNAcentral lists this ribosomal RNA (576 nucleotides) under Pholetesor sp. SNS-2016. RNAcentral's name for it is "12S ribosomal RNA". Lineage: Eukaryota; Metazoa; Arthropoda; Insecta; Hymenoptera; Braconidae. The record is from RNAcentral.
UAAUUUUAAAAAAUUUUUUAAAAAAAAAUAAUUAUUAGUUAAAUAAUAAAUUAAAAUAAUUAAAAAUUUUUUAAAUUAAUUGAAUUUAAUAAAUUUUAUAAAAAACUAGGAUUAGAUACCCUACUAUUUAAACUAAAAAUUUAAAUUAAACUAUUAAAUAUUAAUUUAUUAAAUUUAAAAAAAUUGACGGUAUUUUUAAUUUAGAUGAACUUGAAAUUUAAUUUGAUAAUCCACAAUUUAAUAAACUAAUUUUAUAUUUUUAUAUAUUACUGCUUAAAUUUAAUUUUUUAAUUAUAAUUAAAUUUUAUUAAUUAAUAGAUAAUUCAAGUCAAAAUAUAAAUACAAAUUAGAAUAUUUGAGUUACUUUAAAAUUUAAAAAAUAAAAUUUAUAAAUAUUAUUAAUAUUUUAAUUAUAUUUAAAUAAAUAAAAUUAGAAUUUAAUAAUAAAAAUUUUUAUAUAAAAAUUUUAAAAUUUUUUAAAAAAUAUGUACAUAUUGCCCGUCAUUUUUAUAAAUUUUAAAAAUUUAUAAAACAAGUCGUAACAAAGUAAUUUUACUGGAAAGUAAAAUUAGAAUU